CCUACGGGAGGCAGCAGUGGGGAAUUUUGGACAAUGGGCGAAAGCCUGAUCCAGCCAUGCCGCGUGAGUGAAGAAGGCCUUCGGGUUGUAAAGCUCUUUCAGCCGGAAAGAAAUCGCGCAGGCUAAUACUCUGCGUGGAUGACGGUACCGGAAGAAGAAGCACCGGCUAACUACGUGCCAGCAGCCGCGGUAAUACGUAGGGUGCGAGCGUUAAUCGGAAUUACUGGGCGUAAAGCGUGCGCAGGCGGUUAUAUAAGACAGAUGUGAAAUCCCCGGGCUCAACCUGGGAACUGCGUUUGUGACUGUAUGACUAGAGUACGGCAGAGGGAGGUGGAAUUCCGCGUGUAGCAGUGAAAUGCGUAGAUAUGCGGAGGAACACCGAUGGCGAAGGCAGCCUCCUGGGCCAGUACUGACGCUCAUGCACGAAAGCGUGGGGAGCAAACAGGAUUAGAUACCCUGGUAGUCCACGCCCUAAACGAUGUCAACUAGUUGUUCGGUGAGGAGACUCAUGUAGUACGACGAGCACGACGUGAGUAGACGCCGNGGAGGACGGCGCGAGUAAACGUACGAAGAGUAGAGNGNGAGACGNGCGACGGACGACGACGAGGGGAGGAGG
Molecule: ribosomal RNA, 616 nt
Filed under: uncultured bacterium
Lineage: Bacteria
Description: bacterial SSU rRNA
Rfam family: Bacterial small subunit ribosomal RNA (bases 1-542)
Source: RNAcentral